GAUGAACGCUCGCUACAGGCUUAACACAUGCAAGUCGAGGGGAAACGGCAUUGAGUGCUUGCACUCUUUGGACGUCGACCGGCGCACGGGUGAGUAACGCGUAUCCAACCUUCCCAUUACUUUGGGAUAACCUGCCGAAAGGCAGACUAAUACCGCAUAGUCUUCGAUUACGGCAUCAGAUUUGAAGUAAAGAUUUAUCGGUAAUGGAUGGGGAUGCGUCUGAUUAGCUUGUUGGCGGGGUAACGGCCCACCAAGGCUACGAUCAGUAGGGGUUCUGAGAGGAAGGUCCCCCACAUUGGAACUGAGACACGGUCCAAACUCCUACGGGAGGCAGCAGUGAGGAAUAUUGGUCAAUGGACGGAAGUCUGAACCAGCCAAGUAGCGGGCAGGAUGACGGCCCUAUGGGUUGUAAACUGCUUUUGUAUGGGGAUAAAGUUAGGGACGUGUCACUAUUUGCAGGUACCAUACGAAUAAGGACCGGCUAAUUCCGUG
RNAcentral lists this ribosomal RNA (492 nucleotides) under uncultured bacterium. RNAcentral's name for it is "partial 16S ribosomal RNA". It matches the Rfam family "Bacterial small subunit ribosomal RNA", at positions 28 to 507 of the family's 1533-position model. The record is from RNAcentral.